This is a long non-coding RNA of Mytilus californianus (California mussel), 561 nucleotides long. RefSeq lists it as uncharacterized. NCBI's taxonomy places the organism in Eukaryota, Metazoa, Mollusca, Bivalvia, Mytilida, Mytilidae. The record is from RefSeq and is a predicted model, not a curated record. The transcript is spliced from 2 exons.
UGCAAGAGCACGUAUAUAUGUACGUGUAUAAGAGUUUGAUUGAUCUUGGAACAUUCAAAUACGAAGAAUGUUGGUUUGUUUUAUAGGGUUCUUAUAUCAACUAAAUUUUCAAACAACUCAAAUUGCAUCUCAAAUGAUACCAGGAAUGCCAAUGGUUGCAUCUCAAAUGUCACCAGCAAUGCCAAUGGUUGCAUCUCAAAUGUCACCAGCAAUGCAAAUGGUUGCAUCUCAAAUGUCACCAGCAAUGCCAAUGGUUGCAUCUCAAAUGUCACCAGCAAUGCCAAUGGUUGCAUCUCAAAUGUCACCAGCAAUGACAAUGGUUGCAUCUGAAAUGACACCAGAAAUGCCGCCAAUGCUGUUAGAGAUGUUGGAGAUGAUUCUGAUGAUUCUGAUGCUGAUUCUAAUGAAUACGAAUACCAUGACUUCAGAAACUAGUACAGCAAGACCUUAAUAGCCAUGAGGACCUCUACUUAUUUCAAAUUGAGUUACCAAGUCGUUGGACUAUUGGUAUCUGAGUUUGUCCAUCUAACGUCAAAACAAAUAAAAUGUUCUUUUAUUGUC